AUUAUAAAGAUGGUGGGUUUCUAGUAACAAUCCUAG
This 36-nucleotide small RNA is filed under the name Arabidopsis thaliana (thale cress). RNAcentral's name for it is "ATSL088550". The record is from RNAcentral. Lineage: Eukaryota; Viridiplantae; Streptophyta; Magnoliopsida; Brassicales; Brassicaceae.